CCUACGGGUGGCAGCAGUGGGGAAUAUUGGACAAUGGGGGCAACCCUGAUCCAGCCAUGCCGCGUGUGUGAAGAAGGCCCUCGGGUUGUAAUGCACUUUCAGUGAGGAAGAACGCCUGGUGGUUAAUACCCAUCAGGAAAGACAUCACUCACAGAAGAAGCACCGGCUAACUCCGUGCCAGCAGCCGCGGUAAUACGGAGGGUGCGAGCGUUAAUCGGAAUUACUGGGCGUAAAGCGCGCGUAGGUGGCUUGAUAAGCCGGUUGUGAAAGCCCCGGGCUCAACCUGGGAACGGCAUCCGGAACUGUCAAGCUAGAGUGCAGGAGAGGAAGGUAGAAAUCCCGGUGUAGCGGUGAAAUGCGUAGAGAUCGGGAGGAAUACCAGUGGCGAAGGCGGCCUUCUGGACUGACACUGACACUGAGGUGCGAAAGCGUGGGUAGCAAACAGGAUUAGAUACCCGAGUAGUC
RNAcentral lists this ribosomal RNA (465 nucleotides) under Vreelandella stevensii. RNAcentral's name for it is "partial 16S ribosomal RNA". It matches the Rfam family "Bacterial small subunit ribosomal RNA", at positions 338 to 795 of the family's 1533-position model. The record is from RNAcentral. Lineage: Bacteria; Pseudomonadati; Pseudomonadota; Gammaproteobacteria; Oceanospirillales; Halomonadaceae.